This 508-nucleotide ribosomal RNA is filed under the name uncultured bacterium. RNAcentral's name for it is "partial 16S ribosomal RNA". It matches the Rfam family "Bacterial small subunit ribosomal RNA", at positions 28 to 523 of the family's 1533-position model. The record is from RNAcentral.
GACGAACGCUGGCGGCGUGCCUAAUACAUGCAAGUCGAGCGGACUUUAUCCUUCGGGGUAGGGUUAGCGGCGGACGGGUGAGUAACACGUAGGCAACCUGCCUGUAAGACCGGGAUAACAUUCGGAAACGGAUGCUAAUACCGGAUAUGCAACUUGGCUGCAUGGCUGAGUUGGGAAAGACGGCGCAAGCUGUCACUUACAGCAGGGCCUGCGGUGCAUUAGCUAGUUGGUGGGGUAACGGCUCACCAAGGCGACGGUGCAUAGCCGAGCUGAGAGGGGGAUCGGCCACACUGGGACAGAGACACGGCCCAGACUCCUACGGGAGGCAGCAGUAGGGAAUCUUCCGCAAUGGACGAAAGUCUGACGGAGCAACGCCGCGUGAGUGAUGAAGGUUUUCGGGUCGUAAAGCUCUGUUGCCAGGGAAGAACAGCCAGGAGAGUAACUGCUCUUGGAAUGACGGUACCUGAGAAGAAAGCCCCGGCUAACUACGUGCCAGCCGCCGCAGUAA